AAUUAGACUUUGAUGAGAAGAGUAAGCUUAAAUUCAUUCUAUAGAGAUCUCAAGUUGGUGAAAAUGAGAGUUUGAAUUAUGCUGAAGAUGAGCUCGGAGUUGCAAUCGGCGGUGCAAGCCUUAGAUUCGUGAGGAUACGAUAUAAUCCCUAACAUAAUUGUGUUGAUGAGGUUUGAUCAGUGAUGAUUGAACGAACUUGGGUGGUACCGCGUAUUGACUGACGUCCCUGUA
RNAcentral lists this non-coding RNA (231 nucleotides) under Liquorilactobacillus ghanensis. RNAcentral's name for it is "Lactobacillus ghanensis T-box sequence". It matches the Rfam family "T-box leader". Rfam says of the family: Uncharged tRNA acts as the effector for transcription antitermination of genes in the T-box leader family. T-boxes are found upstream of many aminoacyl-tRNA synthetase genes and some amino acid biosynthetic genes usually in Gram-positive bacteria. Lineage: Bacteria; Bacillati; Bacillota; Bacilli; Lactobacillales; Lactobacillaceae. The record is from RNAcentral.